RNAcentral lists this long non-coding RNA (1416 nucleotides) under Phasianus colchicus (ring-necked pheasant). RNAcentral describes it as "lncRNA (ENSPCLG00000015621.1)". Lineage: Eukaryota; Metazoa; Chordata; Aves; Galliformes; Phasianidae. The record is from RNAcentral.
AGACCCUCAAACUGUGGGGUCAGAGCUCCUCAACCCCCCCAGACCCCCAAACUGUGGGGUUGGAGCCCCCCGCCCCCCAAUGGAGCCUCAAAUUGUGGGGUUGGAUCUCCUCCCCCCCACCCCCCACAGACCCUCAAACUGUGCCGGAGUGCCAGCUGUACUGCAGUGCCAACUGUGCCAGGACGCAGAGCCAGCUGUGCCAUAGCGCUGGCAGUGCCACAGUGCCAGCUGUGCCUCAGGGCCAGACUUCAGUGCCAGCUGUGCCGUGUUGCAGUGCCAGAUUUUCCAUGUUGCAGUGCCAGCCGUGCCAGAGAGCCGUGCCAAGAUGCAGUGCCAGCAGUGCCACAGUGUCUACUGUGCCAUGGGUGCCAGCUGUGCUGGGAUGCAGCACCAGCUGUGCCAUCUUUGCCAUGCUGCAGUGCCGGGAUGCUGUGCCAGUUGUGUGGGGCCGCAGUGGCAGCUGUGCCAGGAUGCAGUGCCAGCUGUGCUGUAGGUACCAGCUGUGCUGCUGUGCCAGCUGUGCCAUCCUGCCUGCUAUGCCUGUCUGCCAUGUCAGGAGUGCCAGAGAGCCACCUGUGCCAUAGUGCCAGCUCUGCCAGGCUGCAGUGCCAGCUGUGCCAUCCUGCCUGCUGUGCCAGAGUGUCAGCUGUGCUGGGCUGCCAGCUGUGCCACAGUGCCUGCUGUGCUGUGUUGGCUCCUGUGCCAUGCUACAAUGCCAGCUGUGCCAUACUGCCAUGCCACAGUGCCUGCUGUGCCGUGUUGCAGUGCCGGCUGUGCCACUCUGCUGUGCCAUGAUGCCAGCUGAGCCAGAAUGCCAGCUGUGCUGUGCCACAGUGCCAGCUGUGUGGGGCUGCAGUGCCAGUUCUGCUGUGCCACUGUGCCUGUUGUAUUUUAGUGCCAGCAGUGCCACAGUACCAACAGUGCCUGCAGUGCCAGCAGUGCCACAGUACCAACAGUGUCCUCAAUGCCAGCAGUGCCACAAUGCAGUGCCAGCAGUGCCACAGUAGCAACAGUGCCUGCAAUGCCAGCAGUGCCACAGUAGCAAGUGUCCUCAGUGCCAGCAGUGCCAUUUUGCAGUGCCAGCAGUGCCAUAGUAGCAGCAGUGUCCUCAGUGCCAGCAGUGCCAUAGUAGCAACAGUGUCCUCAGUGCCAGCAGUGCCAUUUUGCAGUGCCAGCAGUGCCACAGUAGCAGCAGUGUCCUCAGUGCCAGCAGUGCCACAGUACCAACAGUGCCUGCAAUGCCAGCAGUGCCACAGUAGCAACAGAGUCCUCAUUGCCAGCAGUGCCAUUUUGCAGUGCCAGCUGUGCCACAGUAGCAAUAGAGUCCUCAGUGCCAGCAGUGGCGUUUUGCAGUGCCAGCAGUGCCACCCCGCAGCGCCACAGCAGCGCCAUGGCAGCAGCCCUGCCCUCGUGUUG